Molecule: ribosomal RNA, 275 nt
Filed under: uncultured Lactobacillaceae bacterium
Lineage: Bacteria; Bacillati; Bacillota; Bacilli; Lactobacillales; Lactobacillaceae
Description: partial 16S ribosomal RNA
Rfam family: Bacterial small subunit ribosomal RNA
Source: RNAcentral
GUAGGUGGCAAGCGUGUCCGGAUUUAUUGGGCGUAAAGCGAGCGCAGGCGGAAGAAUAAGUCUGAUGUGAAAGCCCUCGGCUUAACCGAGGAACUGCAUCGGAAACUGUUUUUCUUGAGUGCAGAAGAGGAGAGUGGAAUUCCAUGUGUAGCGGUGGAAUGCGUAGAUAUAUGGAAGAACACCAGUGGCGAAGGCGACUCUCUGGUCUGCAACUGACGCUGAGGCUCGAAAGCAUGGGUAGCGAACAGGAUUAGAUACCCUGGUAGUCAAGGGCG